This 2896-nucleotide ribosomal RNA is filed under the name Klebsiella pneumoniae. Its description in RNAcentral is "23S ribosomal RNA". It matches the Rfam family "Bacterial large subunit ribosomal RNA". The record is from RNAcentral. Lineage: Bacteria; Pseudomonadati; Pseudomonadota; Gammaproteobacteria; Enterobacterales; Enterobacteriaceae.
GGGUUGUGAGGUUAAGCGACUAAGCGUACACGGUGGAUGCCCCGCAGUCAGAGGCGAUGAAGGACGUGCUAAUCUGCGAAAAGCGUCGGUAAGGUGAUAUGAACCGUUAUAACCGGCGAUGUCCGAAUGGGGAAACCCAGUGCAAUUCGUUGCACUAUCGUUAACUGAAUACAUAGGUUAACGAGGCGAACCGGGGGAACUGAAACAUCUAAGUACCCCGAGGAAAAGAAAUCAACCGAGAUUCCCCAGUAGCGGCGAGCGAACGGGGAGCAGCCCAGAGUCUGAAUCAGCUUGUGUGUUAGUGGAACGGUCUGGAAAGUCCGACGGUACAGGGUGAUAGUCCCGUACACCAAAAUGCACAGGUUGUGAACUCGAAGAGUAGGGCGGGACACGUGGUAUCCUGUCUGAAUAUGGGGGGACCAUCCUCCAAGGCUAAAUACUCCUGACUGACCGAUAGUGAACCAGUACCGUGAGGGAAAGGCGAAAAGAACCCCGGCGAGGGAGUGAAAAGAACCUGAAACCGUGUACGUACAAGCAGUGGGAGCACCUUCGGGUGUGACUGCGUACCUUUGUAUAAUGGGUCAGCGACUUAUAUUCUGUAGCAAGGUUAACCGUAUAGGGAGCCGCAGGAAACCGAGUCUUAACUGGGCGUUAAGUUGCAGGGUAUAGACCCGAAACCCGGUGAUCUAGCCAUGGGCAGGUUGAAGGUUGGGUAACACUAACUGGAGGACCGAACCGACUAAUGUUGAAAAAUUAGCGGAUGACUUGUGGCUGGGGUGAAAGGCCAAUCAAACCGGGAGAUAGCUGGUUCUCCCGAAAGCUAUUUAGGUAGCGCCUCGUGAAUUCAUCUUCGGGGUAGAGCACUGUUUCGGCUAGGGGUCAUCCCGACUUACCAACCCGAUGCAAACUACGAAUACCGAAGAAUGUUAUCACGGGAGACACACGGCGGGUGCUAACGUCCGUCGUGAAGAGGGAAACAACCCAGACCGCCAGCUAAGGUCCCAAAGUCAUGGUUAAGUGGGAAACGAUGUGGGAAGGCACAGACAGCCGGAUGUUGGCUUAGAAGCAGCCAUCAUUUAAAGAAAGCGUAAUAGCUCACUGGUCGAGUCGGCCUGCGCGGAAGAUGUAACGGGCUAAACCAUGCACCGAAGCUGCGGCAGCGACACUAUGUGUUGUUGGGUAGGGGCGUUCUGUAAGCCUGCGAAGGUGUGCUGUGAGGCAUGCUGGAGGUAUCAGAAGUGCGAAUGCUGACAUAAGUAACGAUAAAGCGGGUGAAAAGCCCGCUCGCCGGAAGACCAAGGGUUCCUGUCCAACGUUAAUCGGGGCAGGGUGAGUCGACCCCUAAGGCGAGGCCGAAAGGCGUAGUCGAUGGGAAACAGGUUAAUAUUCCUGUACUUGGUGUUACUGCGAAGGGGGGACGGAGAAGGCUAUGUUAGCCGGGCGACGGUUGUCCCGGUUUAAGCAUGUAGGCUGAUUAUCCAGGCAAAUCCGGAUAAUCAAGGCUGAGGUGUGAUGACGAGGCACUACGGUGCUGAAGUAACAAAUGCCCUGCUUCCGUGAAAGCCUCUAAGCAUCAGGUAACAUCAAAUCGUACCCCAAACCGACACAGGUGGUCAGGUAGAGAAUACCAAGGCGCUUGAGAGAACUCGGGUGAAGGAACUAGGCAAAAUGGUGCCGUAACUUCGGGAGAAGGCACGCUGGUGUGUAGGUGAAGCCCCUGCGGGUGGAGCUGAGACCAGUCGAAGAUACCAGCUGGCUGCAACUGUUUAUUAAAAACACAGCACUGUGCAAACACGAAAGUGGACGUAUACGGUGUGACGCCUGCCCGGUGCCGGAAGGUUAAUUGAUGGGGUUAUCCGUAAGGAGAAGCUCUUGAUCGAAGCCCCGGUAAACGGCGGCCGUAACUAUAACGGUCCUAAGGUAGCGAAAUUCCUUGUCGGGUAAGUUCCGACCUGCACGAAUGGCGUAAUGAUGGCCAGGCUGUCUCCACCCGAGACUCAGUGAAAUUGAACUCGCUGUGAAGAUGCAGUGUACCCGCGGCAAGACGGAAAGACCCCGUGAACCUUUACUAUAGCUUGACACUGAACAUUGAGCCUUGAUGUGUAGGAUAGGUGGGAGGCUUUGAAGCGUGGACGCCAGUCUGCGUGGAGCCAACCUUGAAAUACCACCCUUUAAUGUUUGAUGUUCUAACGUUGGCCCUUACCGGGGUUGCGGACAGUGUCUGGUGGGUAGUUUGACUGGGGCGGUCUCCUCCCAAAGCGUAACGGAGGAGCACGAAGGUUAGCUAAUCUGGUCGGACAUCAGGAGGUUAGUGCAAUGGCAUAAGCUAGCUUGACUGCGAGCGUGACGGCGCGAGCAGGUGCGAAAGCAGGUCAUAGUGAUCCGGUGGUUCUGAAUGGAAGGGCCAUCGCUCAACGGAUAAAAGGUACUCCGGGGAUAACAGGCUGAUACCGCCCAAGAGUUCAUAUCGACGGCGGUGUUUGGCACCUCGAUGUCGGCUCAUCACAUCCUGAAGUAGGUCCCAAGGGUAUGGCUGUUCGCCAUUUAAAGUGGUACGCGAGCUGGGUUUAGAACGUCGUGAGACAGUUCGGUCCCUAUCUGCCGUGGGCGCUGGAGAAUUGAGGGGCUGCUCCUAGUACGAGAGGACCGGAGUGGACGCAUCACUGGUGUUCGGGUUGUCAUGCCAAUGGCACUGCCCGGUAGCUAAAUGCGGAAGAGAUAAGUGCUGAAAGCAUCUAAGCACGAAACUUGCCCCGAGAUGAGUUCUCCUGAGACUUUAAGUCUCCUGAAGGAACGUUGAAGACGACGACGUUGAUAGGCCGGGUGUGUAAGCGCAGCGAUGCGUUGAGCUAACCGGUACUAAUGAACCGUGAGGCUUAACCUUACAACGCCGAAG